CCGAAACAUCCACCUCACUCUCUUUUCUUCACCAUUUUCCCAUCUCCAUUCUUGACUUUCUUCUACGAAUCCACAAAACAUUGAUAAAACCAAGGGAAAAAAACUUAAAUAAGAACAAAACACACCUAUCUGAUUUUUUUAAAAUAUUUUUUUCCCCUUCUUGUUUACUGCUUAAUUCCAUAAGAGCAAAGAAGCAGAAAAAGGCUAAGAAAUUGUAAGUAACGCAACCCCAGAAAUUUUAUUCAUUUUUACACCCAAAUCUCUUUUUUUUUUCCUAGAAAUAUUGAAAAGUUUGAAUCUUUUUAGUUAAAACUGCAGGUAAGAGAUGAAUUUUGUGUCAGUAUUGGAGGUCCAGAAGGUCAAAUCGAUGCUUUGACGAAUACCCAUUUGUUUAUUUCACAGUGUAAAUGCAACUUUGUAGAUCAGUAGCCUCCUGGAUUUCACGUUUCUUCGCUUGCAUGGGGUCAGUCAUUUGAUUUUAAUUUCGUUUUCAUAUAAAACAUUCUGCUAUCCCUUUUCUAUUUUCCCCUUUUAGGGUUGGUGGUGUUGUAUUUCACACACACACUCAUAUACACUCCCCUCAAGGGUUGGUUGAGUGGUUGAGGAUAAGAUAAAAACCUGGAGAUCUCAGUCCCGAUUUGUGCUUGUGGCCUGUAGCUGGUUGCCUGGUAUAUUAGUUAAGGUAUAAGCACUGACUUUACCUUUUUAUGUACUAAAACAUCCCCCCAUAUAUAUAUAUAUAUAUAUAUAUAUGAAUUAUAUCAUUAAGUGAUUAAGGUUAAAAUGGGAAGUUCAUAGUUAAACUAUUUCUGAAUAUAGAAAUCUGUCAUUGGUUUGGAGGGGCUCUGAUGGUAAGCAAUCCCCACCUCCAACCGAGAUGUUGUGAGUUCGAGCCUCCCAAGGGAAGUUCUUGGAGGGAUGGAUGCUGGGGUCUAUUUGGAAACAGCCUCUCUACCAAGGGUAGGGGUAAUGUCUGCAUACACACUAUCCUUCCCAGACCCCACUAAGUGGGAUUAUACUGGGUUGUUGUUGUUGUUGGUUUGGAAAAGAAUUAGUAUCGGAUAAAUUGGGAGAGAGGGAAUGAUACGCUGUAAAUAGAUGACACAACGAAUGAAAGGUUAGAAAGUUUGAUAAUAAUGUUUUUUAGAAUGCUUUUCUUGGUUUAGUGGGCAAUAAUUGGCUUUUAUUUGGUGGUUUGGAAUCUGAGGUACUUGCUUACAGGCUAAGCAAGCAAUAAUAGUGAAUAGAAAGGAAGAUGAGCUGGUGCUUCUUUUUCUGUUUCUUUUUGGUUUUUUUCUUCCCAUGCUUUUGCUUGUUAUGUUGAGGGAGUUUGUUGCUAGAAUGUUAUAUUCUAUACGUAAUUGUCUUGCUAGCUACAGUAUCAAAUGCUUUGCUUCUAGCCAUGUAUAAUAUAUGUUGCUUAAAAAUCGAAAUUGAGGCAUGUUUUAGACGUAUGCCUUUGUGUUCUGUUUUGGGUUUUUUUUGGAGAAUAUCUUCGAGCCGUCAUUGGUGCAAUGAUGGAAAAGUUGAAGGAGACAUGGAGGGUGUUAGGAUUUAUGCCCGUCACUAGAGGGGGAGUGAAUAGUGCGGCACGAGAAUAUUGAUAA
RNAcentral lists this long non-coding RNA (1607 nucleotides) under Nicotiana benthamiana. RNAcentral's name for it is "long non-coding RNA (NBEN_LNC033777)". Lineage: Eukaryota; Viridiplantae; Streptophyta; Magnoliopsida; Solanales; Solanaceae. The record is from RNAcentral.